Molecule: ribosomal RNA, 347 nt
Filed under: Ameletus kyotensis
Lineage: Eukaryota; Metazoa; Arthropoda; Insecta; Ephemeroptera; Ameletidae
Description: partial 16S ribosomal RNA
Rfam family: Archaeal large subunit ribosomal RNA (bases 1-192)
Source: RNAcentral
AACAUCGCUUUUAAGGGUUUGUGAAAAGUAUAACCUGCCCACUGAAAAUUUAAAGGGCCGCGGUAUUUUGACCGUGCAAAGGUAGCAUAAUCAUUAGUCUUUUAAUUAAAGGCUGGAAUGAAUGGUUGGACGAGGUGUUAGCUGUCUCAUUAAAAUCAAAUUUGAAUUUAACUUUUUAGUCAAAAGGCUAAAAUAUGGUUGGAGGACGAGAAGACCCUAUAGAUCUUUAUAUUAUACACUUUUAUUCUUUUUAGACAAAGCUUGAAUUAAAGGUGCAAAUAUUUCGUUGGGGUGACGAGAAGAUACUAAAACCUCUUCUUAAAAGUUCACAUUAAUUAAUGAAUAAA